This 449-nucleotide ribosomal RNA is filed under the name uncultured bacterium. RNAcentral's name for it is "bacterial SSU rRNA". It matches the Rfam family "Bacterial small subunit ribosomal RNA", at positions 354 to 796 of the family's 1533-position model. The record is from RNAcentral.
GUGGGGAAUAUUGGGCAAUGGGCGAAAGCCUGACCCAGCCACGCCGCGUGAGCGAUGAAGGCCUUCGGGUUGUAAAGCUCUGUGGGGAGGGGCGAAAAACCGGCAGCUAACAAGUGUCGGGUUGACGGUACCUCCUUAGCAAGCACCGGCUAACUCUGUGCCAGCAGCCGCGGUAAGACAGAGGGUGCAAACGUUGCUCGGAUUUACUGGGCGUAAAGCGCGUGUAGGCGGGAAGAUAAGUCGGGUGUGAAAUCCCUGGGCUCAACCUAGGAACUGCAUCCGAAACUGCCUUUCUGGAGUGGUGGAGAGGAGAGCGGAAUUCCCGGUGUAGAGGUGAAAUUCGUAGAUAUCGGGAGGAACAUCGGUGGCGAAGGCGGCUCUCUGGACACUUACUGACGCUGAGACGCGAAAGCGUGGGGAGCAAACAGGAUUAGAAACCCCGGUAGUCC